RNAcentral lists this ribosomal RNA (531 nucleotides) under Triticum aestivum (bread wheat). RNAcentral's name for it is "partial small subunit ribosomal RNA". The record is from RNAcentral. Lineage: Eukaryota; Viridiplantae; Streptophyta; Magnoliopsida; Poales; Poaceae.
AUGUGCCUGUGUACCUGCGUCCGUCACGCGGAAGGCGACGAGCUCCGGCGUUUCCAGGAUAUCGCCAGGGGCCGCGCCGCAGGUUUGGCCACGGGACGAUACAGCAACUACUUCGUGCAGCGCGUCCUCGACCGCGGCAGCACUCCGUUCAGGCAGGAGCUCGUGCGCGAGCUCAUGCGGGAGGUCGCCCUCCUGUCCCGCGACCCGUUCGGGAACUACGUCGUGCAGCACUGCUUCCUGAACCAGGAGACAGGUUUGCCACAGGCCGAGUUGCUGCCCAUCGUGCUCAGGGCUUUUGCUGGCCUGCCCCAACAACAGCUCCAAGGUCUGGUGCACCACGCCCCUGGCAACUUGGUCCUCUGCAGUCUGCUCGAGACAGGCAUCAAUCACUGCCCGGAGUUGACGCGGGACCUGGCGUCGAGAAUCGACCUCCUGGACAGGCAUGUCUUGGAACAUCCUCACUCGCAGAUGGUGAUGUGGUUCGUCGAGAGGAUCCUGUUGCCUCAAUUUUUUACAUUUUCCGUAGGCUAG